Non-coding RNA from Haloferax sp., 53 nucleotides. The record is from Rfam. Lineage: Archaea; Methanobacteriati; Methanobacteriota; Halobacteria; Halobacteriales; Haloferacaceae.
ACCGACGGAGGAUAGAGUAAGUCGUCGCGAGACGGCUGGCUGUGAAAUUCGAC